CUAAUGAGACUGCCGGUGACAAACCGGAGGAAGUGGGGAUGACGUCAAGUCCUCAUGGCCCUUAUGGUAGGGCUACACACGUCAUACAAUGGAUGGUACAAAGGGUCGCCAACCCGCGAGGGGGAGCCAAUCCCAUAAAGCCAUUCGUAGUCCGGAUCGCAGUCUGCAACUCGACUGCGUGAAGUCGGAAUCGCUAGUAAUCGUGGAUCAGAAUGUCACGGUGAAUACGUUCCCGGGUCUU
RNAcentral lists this ribosomal RNA (241 nucleotides) under uncultured Polaromonas sp. RNAcentral's name for it is "partial 16S ribosomal RNA". It matches the Rfam family "Bacterial small subunit ribosomal RNA", at positions 1140 to 1382 of the family's 1533-position model. The record is from RNAcentral. Lineage: Bacteria; Pseudomonadati; Pseudomonadota; Betaproteobacteria; Burkholderiales; Comamonadaceae.